Molecule: long non-coding RNA, 775 nt
Organism: Pseudopipra pipra
Lineage: Eukaryota; Metazoa; Chordata; Aves; Passeriformes; Pipridae
Exons: 4
Source: RefSeq, a predicted model, not a curated record
UGUCACAAUGGCUGCAUGGCCACGCUGGCCACACAUGGGCUCCGUGGCUACUGGCCAACCCCAGUCCACAUGAAGUGGGCAGCUGUGUCUUCAGGGGCCUUGCUUCACCACCAGCAUGUGCCAGUGGGUCUGCUGGACACUGACCUGACACGGCAGAAGCAAGAGGAGUGUCCGGGCUCUCUGGCAGUGCGAGAGGCAAUACACAGGCAGAGAAGCCCACUGCAGUGGUGGCAGUGGUGUCAGUGAUGGCGUUUCCAGCUUUGAUUGCAUGUAGUUGUGGAGAGAACAAGGUCUCCCCUGAGCCUCCUUUUACCUAGGCUGAACAGUCCCAGCUGCCUCAGCUGCUCCCCAGUUGACUUGUGCUACAGACACCUCACCAGCUUUGUGGCCCUUUUUUGGACAUGCUCGAGAACCUCCAUGUCCUGUUGUCAGUGAUCCAAAACUGAACACUGGAUUUGAGGUGCAGUCUCACCAGUGCUGAGUACAGGAGGACUCUGGUACUUUCUAGAGCUGCAGUGGAGCAAACACUGGGAGUGUUUAUGAGGCAUUUUGAUUCAGAUCUCUUCUCAGUAAUCCUGAGGCUAACAGAGAAAUUCUGCUUAUUAAUUCUGCUUUGAAGCACAAACAGUUAAGUCCAAAAGGAUCUUGAUCAGGAAGAAUUGGUGUGUGAUGGGAACUGUGGAAUCGGGAACCGCCAAAUAACUCAGCACGGAUUGUUUCCCAGUAAAGAGUAUUGUAUUAACCUUCAGUUUAAUUAAAUUAAUUGUUCAACUAA